Molecule: microRNA precursor, 78 nt
Filed under: Trichobilharzia regenti
Lineage: Eukaryota; Metazoa; Platyhelminthes; Trematoda; Strigeidida; Schistosomatidae
Description: mir-3492 microRNA precursor family
Rfam family: mir-3492 microRNA precursor family
Source: Rfam by way of RNAcentral
AGCCUUCUGUAUUCGAGCGGAGAUUUCGCCAGUGAUCAACCCGUUGGGUCUGAUGCAACUUCUGAAAUAAGUGAAAUG